GCGGUAAUUCAGCUCCAAUAGCGUAUAUGUAAAUUGCUGCGGUUGAAACGCUCGUAGUUGGACUUCUGGCGUCGGAAUUCGGUUCAUUUCACAUGAUACUGGAUCCCGUCGUCGUUUUUGUCGACGGGUUUCGUUGGGCUUAGUUGUCUGGCGAUCUUCUGUCGGCGAUGUUACUUUGAGGAAAUCAGAGUGCUCAAAGCAAGCGUUCGCUCGUGACUUCACUAGCAUGGAAUAACACAGAUGGGCUCUGUCUCGCAACGUUGGUCUGCGUCAAUUGAGCAACGAUCGAUAGAGACGGUCGGGGGCAUUCGUAUUGCGCAGUUAGAGGUGAAAUUCUCCGAUCUGCGUAAGACGCACUAGUGCGAAAGCAAUUGCCAAGGACGUUCUCUUAUGAUCAAGAGCGAAAGUCGGGGGAUCAAAGAUGAUUAGAUACCGUCGUAGUCCCGACCAUAAAUGAUGCCGRCUGAGCGUUGGCAACUCGGCUUCUGCCGGAUGUCAGCGCUCUUGAGAGAAAUUAAAGUCUUUGGGCUCCGGGGGUAGUAUGGUCGCAAGUCUGAAACUUGAAGGAAUUGACGGAAGGGCACCACAAGGCGUGGAUGUUGCGGCUUAAUUUGACUCAACACGGGAAAGCUUACUAGGUUUGGACACUUGAAUGAGGGACAUAUUGAAGCUCUUACCUUAUCUUGUGGAUGGUGGUGCAUGGUCGUUCUCAGCCCGUGGGUUGACCUGUCAGGUUUACUCCGGUAACGCGCGAGACCUCGGUUUGCUAAAUAGACGUGGCUGUCUCGGCACCCACGUUCUUCUUAGAGAGAGACUCGAUGAGAAUCGAGGGAAGUCGAGGCAAUAACAGAUCUGUGAUGCCCUUAGUUAUCCUAGGUCGCACGCGCCAUACAAUGUGGCGCACAACGAGUUUCCUAGGCCGAUAGGAUCUCAGCUAGGAGUCACUGGGCAAUCUGAGAGAGCGCUACGUGACUGGGCUAGACUUUUGUAAUUGUUGGUCUUGAACGAGGAAUGCCUAGUAAUCGCAGGUCAUUAUCCUGCGAUGAUUAUGUCCCUGCCCUUUGUACACACCGCCCGUCGCUCCUGCCGUGGCUCGUGCCGGUGAAGAGGGGGAGGCAGCGUCAACGGAGUAACAUCUGAUUGUACGUGGAACCCCUCUGAACCUUCGCGAGUAGAGGAAGGAGAAGUCGUAACAAGGUUUUCGUAGGUGAACCUGCGAAAGGAUCAUUAUCGGCA
This 1236-nucleotide ribosomal RNA is filed under the name Caulerpa sertularioides. RNAcentral's name for it is "SSU rRNA". It matches the Rfam family "Eukaryotic small subunit ribosomal RNA". The record is from RNAcentral. Lineage: Eukaryota; Viridiplantae; Chlorophyta; Ulvophyceae; Bryopsidales; Caulerpaceae.